AGAGUUUGAUCAUGGCUCAGAGCGAACGCUGGCGGCGUGCUUAACACAUGCAAGUCGAACGCGCAGCAUUCUGUAGCAAUACAGGGUGUGGGCGCGUGGCGAACGGGCGCGUAACACGUGGAUAACCUUCCUUGAGGUGGGGAAUAACCCAGUGAAAAUUGGGCUAAUACCGCAUAACAUCGCGAUGGCACAUGCUGAUGCGAUCAAAGGCGCAAGUCGCCACAAGAGGGAUCCGCGGCCGAUUAGCUUGUUGGCGAGGUAAUGGCUCACCAAGGCAAUGAUCGGUAGCCGGACUGAGAGGUUGGCCGGCCACACUGGAACUGAGACACGGUCCAGACUCCUACGGGAGGCAGCAGUGGGGAAUCUUGCACAAUGGACGAAAGUCUGAUGCAGCAACGCCGCGUGGGGGAUGAAGCUUCUCGGAGUGUAAACCCCUUUCGACCCGGAAGAAUGCCCGCAAGGGUAUGACGGUACGGGUAUAAGAAGCCCCGGCUAACUACGUGCCAGCAGCCGCGGUAAUACGUAGGGGGCCAGCGUUGCUCGGAAUUACUGGGCGUAAAGGGUCCGUAGGCGGUGUAGCAAGUCGAUAGUGAAAUCUCUGGGCUUAACCCAGAGGCUGCUAACGAAACUGCUGUGCUAGAGUGUGAGAGAGGCGAGUGGAAUUACGGGUGUAGCGGUGAAAUGCGUAGAUAUCCGUAGGAACAUCCGAGGCGAAGGCGGCUCGCUGGAUCACAACUGACGCUGAGGGACGAAAGCUAGGGGAGCAAACAGGAUUAGAUACCCUAGUAGUCC
Molecule: ribosomal RNA, 792 nt
Filed under: uncultured bacterium
Lineage: Bacteria
Description: bacterial SSU rRNA
Rfam family: Bacterial small subunit ribosomal RNA
Source: RNAcentral